This 116-nucleotide ribosomal RNA is filed under the name Larimichthys crocea (large yellow croaker). The record is from RNAcentral. Lineage: Eukaryota; Metazoa; Chordata; Actinopteri; Sciaenidae.
GCUUACGGCCAUACCUGCCUGAAUGCUCCCGAUCUCGUCUGAUCUCGGAAGCUAAGCAGCGUCAGGCCUGGUUAGUACUUGGAUGGGAGACGCCUGGGAACCCGGUGCUGUAAGGU